This 526-nucleotide ribosomal RNA is filed under the name uncultured bacterium. RNAcentral describes it as "bacterial SSU rRNA". It matches the Rfam family "Bacterial small subunit ribosomal RNA", at positions 984 to 1509 of the family's 1533-position model. The record is from RNAcentral.
ACAUCCAGCGAACUUGGCAGAGAUGCCUUGGUGCCUUCGGGAACGCUGAGACAGGUGCUGCAUGGCUGUCGUCAGCUCGUGUUGUGAAAUGUUGGGGUUAAGUCCCGCAACGAGCGCAACCCUUAUCCUUUGUUGCCAGCGAUUCGGUCGGGAACUCAAAGGAGACUGCCGGUGAUAAACCGGAGGAAGGUGGGGAUGACGUCAAGUCAUCAUGGCCCUUACGAGUAGGGCUACACACGUGCUACAAUGGCGCAUACAAAGAGAAGCGACCUCGCGAGAGCAAGCGGACCUCAUAAAGUGCGUCGUAGUCCGGAUCGGAGUCUGCAACUCGACUCCGUGAAGUCGGAAUCGCUAGUAAUCGUGGAUCAGAAUGCCACGGUGAAUACGUUCCCGGGCCUUGUACACACCGCCCGUCACACCAUGGGAGUGGGUUGCAAAAGAAGUAGGUAGCUUAACCCUCGGGAGGGCGCUUACCACUUUGUGAUUCAUGACUGGGGUGAAGUCGUAACAAGGUAGGCGUAGCGAG